GCCUAUAGCUCAGUUGGUUAGAGCACUUGACUCAUAAUCAAGGGGUCCCUGGUUCGAGCCCAGGUG
Molecule: transfer RNA, 66 nt
Filed under: marine eukaryotic metagenome
Rfam family: tRNA
About the family: Transfer RNA (tRNA) molecules are approximately 80 nucleotides in length. Their secondary structure includes four short double-helical elements and three loops (D, anti-codon, and T loops).
Source: RNAcentral